GUUCCACCCAGCGUAAUAGGAUCCAGCUGGUCAGGAGACUCUAAACUCCCAUCUCCACCCAUCACUUUGUGUUCUUGACCUCUCUGAGCCUCAGUGUCCUUUGUAUUGAAAAGAGAGGGAGAAACCAUCUGCCUGACCUUCACACAGAGAACGGGAAGCCGAUAAAGCCUAUGAAAACCCUUUGUAAGCUGUCGGCCUCUAUAAAAAGGUAACCUGCUGUUCCCGAUGGGAAGGUCUGAUUCCCUGGGCUGUGUUACAGUUUAUUAGGAUGAUCUUUCCCGUGGUACUUAGGUAGAUCUCCGGAAUUGCUGGUACCUGUGAGGCUGUGACGAUAUCAAAGUUUCCCCGGGAAUGUGACGAAGGCCUGACUCACGGCAGAGAAUCUUCUUUUCCUUCAGUUGCAUCUCGGAGGGCUCACGAGUACCUGACUUUCAGUGCCGUUGCCGGGACAGUCAGUCUCACAGCAACCUCAGAAGAUGGGUGUUCUCACUCUAACAGACGGAUCAACAAACACUGAGUGACUCUAACAAGAUCACAGCAAGUUACGGAGACAAGGUCCCAACCCCACACUGCCAGGCUCCGUCCCCAUGUUGCUAUUUGUAAAGAGAAGGCCACCUCGUUCACCUAGUUCUUCUGGGGAAAAUCCACAAAGUCAGCAGGUAGAUUGCCGAGCGGGCUGCGUUUGGCUGUAGUAUUUCCAGUCACGUGGGGGGAGUCCCUUUCGUGUCAGAAGCCUCCCUAAAUUCGUACAAGUAGUUAAAGGGGAGCAAAGCUUCUAAAAGUGUAACCACUAUCUUUUAAAGAGACCAUUUUGAGGCCAUGUAUGUGUGUGUAUGUACAUACCUCCAAACUCGCCCACUAAAGUGGAAACACGGCAAAUCUAAGUUUCAUAAUUAGGAGUACAUGAUACAUAACUCAAUAAUUAGGAUAUAAAGUACCCUGAAAAAUAAAAAAUGGUAGAAAACAUGGAAAACAUUGCUUUAAAGAGACAUAAUGAGCCCCAUUUGGGAGGGAGAAAAACAGACAAUAAAUCAGUUGAAUAAAUACAGACCAAAAUCUGGAUAGAAUUAUCUCAAAUGAGUUAAUAGCCUAAUUCAAAAUAAUAUUUUAGGCUUCCAGCCACAGGCUUACAGAUUCACUAAGUCUGUCCUCAGCAUCAGUUUUCUGAAUCUGUUCUGUAUUUAUUUUAGUGGAAAUGAGUGAAGAAUUAAGACAUAACUAAAUUACUUUUCCAUGAUGCAUAUGUUACAUUGGUGCCAUAAAAACAUAGUUUCCUCAAAGUUUAAUUUAUCAAGUGGAGUGUAAGAUUAAAAUAAAGAUACUCCCUUGACAUAUACAAAUAUACACAUAUGUACACAGAUCUACAUUUACUUCUCAUGAAGCUCUCCCUGGUACUCUGGGCAGAGAACAAAUUAUGUCACCAAGAACAGGAUUUGUUUUAUAAAAUGAUUUCUAAGAUAAGUAGUUGCUGGAGAAUGUUCUACUGGCAUUCUACAUUUCACACUCAGACUUAGCAGACAUAGAAUCUGCUUUCUAUUGUAGAAAUCAAUUUUAGCAACAUUCAUAAAAACAAAAGGAGGCCAAGAUACGAACAUUAAAGACUGUUACGUCUUUUGAUAACAUUCAGGAGUAUAUACACCAUAACAUUUUAGAUAAUCGUAGGUAACCUUAUGCUCAGCCCUGAAAAGAAGGAAAUUCUUUAUCCAAAGAAAAGCUAUUUCUAGAUAUUUUUAUAAGUUACCUAUCAUAACCACUGGCUUUUCUUAAUAUUAAUUGGAAACCAGACUGGAGAAGAUAUUCACAGCAUGUGAGAAAACAGGAAUGUGCACUCAUCCCUGGGCAUUGCGAAUUACCAUCACCUCUUGGACGGGAAACUGACAAACUGGAGGAAAGUUGAAGGCGUCAGCAACUUCACUUCUACGCGUCUUGUUCUAAAAUGUGCAAGACGGCGUGUGAAACGAUAAUCAUUGCAGCCCUGCGCAGAGCAGUAAAGAGUAGAAACAACUUUCACAUCCUUUCUUGGUGUGAUGAAUAAAGAAACGGAGGUUUAAUCAUAGGAUGAGAUAGUACACAAUGUGUGUAGACCUAGAUCCACGUAUAACUAUACGGAUAAAGUGGGAAAAUAUUAUUGAGUCUAAAAGCAAGCUACAGGGGUGACUGCGUGGCUCAGUUGUUAAGCGUCAGACUCGAUUUCAACUCAGGUCGUGAUCUCGUGGUUUCAUGGGUUCAAGCCCUGCGUCGGGCCCUGCACUGACAGUGUGGAGUUUGCUUGAGAUUCUCUCUUUCCCCCUCUCUCUGCCCCUCCUCUGCUCAUGCUGUCUCUGUCUCUCUCAAAAAUGAAUACAUUUAAAAAAAAAUUAAAAGCAAGCUACAAAACUACUGAACAGCACAAAAACCUUUAUAAAAAAUUUAAGACACAGAAGCAAAGGCAGAUAUAUUUUGUAUAUUCAUCCUUACACAGAUAAGUCACAAAAACAAGAAUGGGAAUAACACACACAACUAUUAGAUUAUAAGCCACCUUUGUGGAGAAGGAUGAGUAAGAGAGAGGACGAAGGACGUUGUUUAAUUUAAAAUGUUUAACUUAAUCUCUUCAAACUAGAAAUAUUUGAAGCAAAUAUUGCAAAAUAAUAGUAUUUGUUUAAUGUCUAUGGGAAGUCAGUAGGUGUGUGUUACAUUUUUUGGCACCUGCCUACAGGUUUGAAAUAUUAACAAUUAAACGAUUAAAAAUGUUACUAAUUGAAUUUGACUUCAACUUGAAUGUACUAAAAUAUACUGCCUUGCCUCUUUUCUUCAGCUUCCCCACUAUACUUGUUUUUCCCCAAAGUAAAUCCUGAGCAAAUCUCAUUUUAUAUGAUUUAUAUAAGUGAAGUCUUUGCUGCCAUUGAGUGAGUGCAUUGAGGUGGGUUCAAUCUUCUGGGACUCCCUUAGAAAGCUCCAGAUCUGUCCCUAUAUGUCAAGUACGAAGGGAGUUCCAAAGUGCUAAGUCAAGUGACAUGUCUGCAGAUCCUAGGUGGGAGACAUCUGUCUGAGGAAAGGUCCUUUAGCGGUGUGUCAGAAGGGGAUGCGGGUGAGGACAUGUGUGUAAGGUGAAGGGGCUUGACCUCAGGGUUCUGCACGACGUAUGGGGUCAGGGGUCAAGCCGAGGUAGGCACAGUGCACCCCAGUCCAGGUUGGAGACAUUGGGGAGCCUCUUCAUCAGCCUCUUGUUCUGCAGCGUCUGGUACCCAGAUCUGCAAACAGCCCUGCACUGGGAUGAGGGAACAUCACCUCCAUCCAGGAUGGCCUGGAGGAAGAGAGCACUCACAUAGCACGGAGAGAACUCUCUCAGGACUGAAAGAUGAGAGGUGUUUAUGGGGGUAAGAGAGCUGCAGUUGGUAGAGGGUAUAUAUUUUUUGAGCAAACUCUGUCCACUGCUCCCAACCCUGCCACCAACCUCGCCGUCUCCUUCUUGUCCGUCAGGAAGCGCAGAAAUGCGCUGGCGUGCCAUGGUUCUAGCAGUUUCAUGGUGGAGGCUCAAAGAGGAAUCCGGAGUUCUGAUGGAGGUGGGCUGGGUCAGUUGAUAGCCCAAAGCAAUACCAGCCAUUACCUCGGGAGAGGAAACACCUUUAAGUCGGUGUGCGCAAUGUCACGAGUGUAUGAGAUGUCCAGAAGUACCGGUUCUGCCUUUGUUGUGAUUUCAUAAGGCCGGAAGUGGGUACCCCACAACAAAAAGGGAGAUGGACGUAGGUGUGGAAAAUGGCCGAGAGGUCGCGUUUUCUCAAAACACGUUUGGCAUGGAAAAGACACACCCCUGGAUUUGCUUGCCUUACAUGUUUAUGAAACAAUAAGAAGGACUGAAUUUGGGAAAGGCUUCAGGAUGGGUCACCCCUUCCUAGUAUAUGUUUUCUUCGGCUUUUUUCCACGGUACAGUUUUUCAUUUUCUCUAUGCCCAGUUGGCUGUUGAGUUUUUUGCAGACCUGCGUAAACUGUUCGUGAUAUCGCUCCUUUAAAGCUGAGGCCUUGGUGUCCUCUUUCAGCCACAUAUCAAAAGGUAAACAAGUAGAGAAACUUCUCCUUUGAAGAUUCGACAUGAGUCUGUUACUGGUUAAAUUUCCCUUGCAGAAAUCAAACGGGGUUUCCUGUUGCGUGUUUACCAAACUCUCUUUCCCCAUAAAAUACAGAAUACAGUGCUGCAAUUUUCCCAUUUGUUAAUUUUCCCCAGUGAACUCAUGCCUUCCCUUUAAAUAUCUUCUUUCUUGUAGUCUACCUCGUUUAGCGGUAAAUGCAGAGGAUUACAAGCAUUCUUGUUAGAUGUAAAACAUUCCAGGAAAUUUAAUUUCUUUAGUCAUGGAUUUUCAUCGUAAUGAUACUUCGCAUUUGUAUAACAUCUCUGCUCUGAGAAAUUCAAACCCCUUAUUCAUUAUCUGGAGACAAGCAUUAUUAUUGUAAUUUUGCAUCCUGUGUAACUGAGUCACCGGAAAUGAACCAGAAAUAAAUCAUACCUGGAGUGUAACUUGCAAAAGAAUGUGACAGCAAGGAGAGACGAUUGGAAACCUUCACAGCAGACCACAAUUCUGCUGGCUCACCCUUUAGGGAGGAGGAGGACUUGAUUUGGUCUGGGGUAAGAGUAGACCACAGGGGGAUGGUGGGCAGGGUGGGGGGCAGAGACACUGAGGAAUGCUUACGGUCAGUGCUGUCACAAAUGCUGGAUAAUGCUACCUAAAAGCUUCCUCUCCCUGACCUUUCUACGAUGCACCCCAGCCUGUCCGGGCAGCACGGGGCCACCCUUUCCUGGGCCUGGAAGCCUGGCUGGGCGCUGAGCCAGGGUACAGAUCCUUCUCUGGGUCUGGCUCCUGGGCCAUGAGAACCAGUGUGGUCCUGAUCUCAGCUGGAUUGCUCAUGGCCCUUUGGGCCUGACAGGUCUUCUGUCAACAUGCCCAGAAUCUCUAGGGGUCAGAGCCUUCACCCGCAGUGGUUUUCCUCCAAUCAAACCAGUUUCCCAAAAUAGAUGUGAUGUUUUUGACAAAAAGGAGCUAAGAAGCCGGGAGGGGCAGGGUGGUCCCUUUUUCCCCCUUGUGAGGUUGACGUGGGCCCUGAGUUUCUUAGUCUCCUGGAGGCUCCUUUCCCACUGAGGGCUUAGUUCAGGGUUGUUUGCUACAUUUUACCCCACUUACCAGGCCCAGCAAUACUUGGGGUCCCCGGGAUAAAUACGGAAUGGGUAGGAGCUGCGAAGGAGGGAGGGUCAAAUGAGUCUCCUCCUCCCAACCUGGAGAGCACAUCUCCCAUCCCCCACUGCGGUCAGUGGAGGCUCCAUAUUCUGGCAGUUUCCAGUUGCUUCCAUUUUUGUUCCGCAUUUCAAUGUAGAAAUCGAGGAACGGGUUCCGUUACAGCGAGGAAUGCACACUAACCAACUCUUGAAAUCGAAAUAAUCAUCACAAGCAGAGAGAAUGCUAUCUGACCAGUAAAUUAUAUAAUUGAGGGAGUGCAUGAAAGAACUGGAAAGGCCAGACUCUGCAGUAAGCUCCUUCAUAAAAAAAAAAAAAAAAAAAAAAAGGAAAGCCAAAUGGGGGAGCCCGGUGGCUCAGUCAGUUGAGCAUCCCACUUCUGCCCAGGUCAUGGUCUCGUGGUUCCUGAGUUCAAGCCCCCCGCCCAGCUCUGUGCUGACAGCUCGGAGCCUAGAGCCUGCUUUGGGUUCUGUGUCUCCCUCUCUCUCUGCCCCUCCCCCGCUCAUGCUCUGUCUCCUUCUCUCUCAAAAAUGAACAUUAAAAAUAAUACUAAAAAAAAAAAAAGCAAAAGGUAACCUCCUUGGCACACUCACAAAGGGACUAUUGCCACGAUGCAAUAGUGGACUCAUGUACCAUGAAUUUAGAGCAAGUUACUGGAAUUUUGAGGGGCUUUCUUAUUUGGCAUCCUGGCGUUUUAUACAAUUAGCAGCAGCAUUGGCUGGGGAGGCUUUGACAAAGAAGGCAAGCAAAACAGAACCAGGAAAAGAAGAACCCGCAAAUGUGUUGCCUUUUUUUUUUUUUUUAAUUUUAUUUUGGGUGUCUAUCGAACAUAGUACAAGAAACUCUCAUGAGAACUUCAGGAAAGGAAACAUACCAUGUCUGUCACUAAAAGGGAAAAAAUGUCAUUGGGCCAGUGAGCAUUGAUUAGAACAAUAAGAACUUCCUGGUGCCAAGAGUCAGAACAAAUGUGUGAAAGGGGACCAAGGGACAUUACCAUACUGCGCCUUUCACAGGAAAAUGCUAAAUAAA
Long non-coding RNA from Panthera uncia (snow leopard), 6233 nucleotides. RefSeq lists it as uncharacterized. Lineage: Eukaryota; Metazoa; Chordata; Mammalia; Carnivora; Felidae. The record is from RefSeq and is a predicted model, not a curated record. The transcript has 2 exons.